ACUCCUACGGGAGGCAGCAGUGGGGAAUAUUGGACAAUGGGCGCAAGCCUGAUCCAGCAAUACCGCGUGUGUGAAGAAGGCCUUCGGGUUGUAAAGCNCUUUCAAUAGGGAGGAAGGNUUAAUGGUUAAUACCCAUUNAGAUUGACGUUACCUACAGAANAAGCACCGGCUAACUCC
RNAcentral lists this ribosomal RNA (177 nucleotides) under uncultured Gammaproteobacteria bacterium. RNAcentral describes it as "partial 16S ribosomal RNA". It matches the Rfam family "Bacterial small subunit ribosomal RNA", at positions 335 to 504 of the family's 1533-position model. The record is from RNAcentral. Lineage: Bacteria; Pseudomonadati; Pseudomonadota; Gammaproteobacteria.